Molecule: ribosomal RNA, 383 nt
Filed under: uncultured eukaryote
Lineage: Eukaryota
Description: partial 18S ribosomal RNA
Rfam family: Eukaryotic small subunit ribosomal RNA
Source: RNAcentral
CAAUAGCGUAUAUUAAAGUUGUUGCGGUUAAAAAGCUCGUAGUUGGAUCUCGGCAGGCAGGGGGUGGUUCGCUCUUAGCGCUACUGCCCCAUUUGCCUGUGUGAUUGGCGGAGGUUUCGGGGUGCUCUUCGUUGAGUGACCCGGGGCGCCGUCAGGUUUACUUUGAAAAAAUUAGAGUGCUCAAAGCAGGCUUUUCACGCUUGAAUAUUCGUGCAUGGAAUAAUGGAAUAGGAACUCGUUUCUAUUUUGUUGGUUUUCGGAAAUCGAGUUAAUGAUUAAUAGGGACAAUUGGGGGCAUUAGUGUUCAGACGACAGAGGUGAAAUUCUUGGACCGUCUGAAGACUAACUACUGCGAAAGCAUUUGCCAAGAGUGUUUUCAUUAA